CCUACGGGGGGCAGCAGUCGAGAAUCUUCCACAAUGGACGAAAGUCUGAUGGAGCGACGCCGCGUGAUUGAUGAAGUGGUUCGCCACGUAAAGAUCUUUUAUGAGGGAAGAAGUAUAUUGACGGUACCUCAUGAAUAAGGGGCUCCUAACUCUGUGCCAGCAGGAGCGGUAAUACAGAGGCCCCGAGCGUUAUCCGGAAUUAUUGGGCGUAAAGGGUGUGUAGGUGGCGUUGUUAGUCGUAUGUGAAAGCCCGGGGCUUAACCUCGGAAACGCGU
Molecule: ribosomal RNA, 275 nt
Filed under: uncultured bacterium
Lineage: Bacteria
Description: partial 16S ribosomal RNA
Rfam family: Bacterial small subunit ribosomal RNA
Source: RNAcentral